RNAcentral lists this ribosomal RNA (409 nucleotides) under Actinomycetes bacterium. RNAcentral's name for it is "Actinobacteria bacterium partial 16S ribosomal RNA". It matches the Rfam family "Bacterial small subunit ribosomal RNA", at positions 355 to 776 of the family's 1533-position model. Lineage: Bacteria; Bacillati; Actinomycetota; Actinomycetes. The record is from RNAcentral.
UGGGGAAUAUUGCACAAUGGGCGAAAGCCUGAUGCAGCGACGCCGCGUGGGGGAUGACGGCCUUCGGGUUGUAAACCUCUUUCAGCAAGGAAGAAGCGAAAGUGACGGUACUUGCAGAAGAAGCGCCGGCUAACUACGUGCCAGCAGCCGCGGUAAUACGUAGGGCGCAAGCGUUGUCCGGAAUUAUUGGGCAUAAAGGGCUUGUAGGUGGCUUGUCGCGUCUGCCGUGAAAACUCGAGGCUUAACCUUGGGCGUGCGGUGGGUACGGGCAGGAUAGAGUGCGGUAGGGGAGACUGGAAUUCCUGGUGUAGCGGUGAAAUGCGCAGAUAUCAGGAGGAACACCGAUGGCGAAGGCAGGUCUCUGGGCCGUUACUGACACUGAGAAGCGAAAGCAUGGGGAGCGAACAGG